Molecule: non-coding RNA, 3389 nt
Organism: Salarias fasciatus (jewelled blenny)
Lineage: Eukaryota; Metazoa; Chordata; Actinopteri; Blenniiformes; Blenniidae
Source: the annotation of a RefSeq genome assembly
AAUGAAACAAGGAGUACAAUCAUAUCUGUUUCAUGAAAACUUAAGGAAGUAUAUAUCAUAAAUCAUUUCUCUGACAAAUUCCUAUUAUCAUGUAAGUAGUUACAGCGAUGUUUUUUGCUGUUUAUGUCUUUGUUUGCCUUCUUGAAAUAAAAGGUUUAAAUGAAGUUCAGAAAUGAUGUGGCUUCUUAUUCUCUCUUUCACUGUAUUUUAUGUAGUUGUAAAAUGAGUUGUUUAUUAAGAUAGAAAUUAAUUUUCUGUAUUUCUGUAAAUAAUAUGUUGUGUUUAUUUCCAGCAGAUGGAAUCAACAGUGUGUGUGAAACUCAAUGUGUAAUGUGAGAAUCUUUACAGUUGGUUACUUUUUGACUAUUAUUACUGCAUGUGAGAACUAAAACCUUCAGCCAAAGUCAUGCAAAGCUCCGUUAAGGCUUUCUGAUAACAACUGUGUACUGUCAAGACGUAUUUAAAUGUGCUUUUCGCUUCUCUUCCUGGCACGCCACGCCUCACACCUGCUGUCUGUUGUGCUCCGUUGCUCCUUGCAUUGUUUCACUUCUGUUUAUUUCAGUACUCAUUUACUAACUACGAACUAAAGCUGCCUGGGUGUUGUGAAGCCUUCCGCUGGCCGCUUGCCCUGAUCACUCCGCCCUAUCAUGUUUAACAUCUGUGUAACAGACUUCCAGUCCUGUCUCCACCUGAAUUUAUUACACCACAAACUAUGUAAAAGUACAACUCUGCCAUCUGGCCCAAACACAAACACACUACACAUAAAACAGUUCAUUACUUUCUAAAAUGUGAAGGUAUGUACCACUUUGGCCAAAUUAUUUAUUGUUUAUUGUUCAUAACCCACAUGUACAGUGAAGCAUGGUGAAGACACAAUCAUCUGUUCUUUGUCUCAGAACCACGGAUCGUCUCACCAAACAUCACAUUGUACCCUGUCUGGAAAGGUAAACUGGGAAACUCAGCAGUCAGACUGAUUUGCACUCUCAGUGGCUUCUAUCCAGACAAACUGAGUGUGGAGUGGCAACACGACCAACGACCCCUGAAUAUUGUUCCAAACGAACUAAAGCUGCAAAGUAUGGAAGGGAGAGAAAAAACCUUCAGCCUCAGCAGUGAGAUUGAGCCAAAUAUCACAGAGUGGACAACAGGCAGCAGUUUCACAUGCAAGGCCACUCAUGAAGGAAGUGAAUAUGAAAAAACAACAAGUAUUUGUGAGAUGCAUGCAAGUACUCCUCCUUUUAUGAUCCUGGACACUCCCAGCUUCAAGACUGUGAUGACGGCUACCUCUGAUGUGAAAGCCACAUGCUUGAUCAGCACUGUUUUUGAUGCCAAGGUGACCUGGCUUUUGAACGAACAAGUUGCACCAAGUAACACUGUUUCUAAAUCUGAAAACACAAGUUAUGUAACAAGUGAAGUAACUGUUCCUUCAACAAAGUGGAAGCAGCUGAAACAUGUUACAUGCAGAGCUGAACAUGCAUGUUUUUCAUCUGUGGAAAAGACCAAAAACAUCACAGAGCCUGAAGUUCCUGCUCCAGUGGUGAUGAUAAGCAGAUCUCUUCCAGAUCUUCUCAAGGGAAACAGUACUGUGCUCAAGUGUGAAAUCACACAACUUUCCUCACAUGAUCUCUCCAUCACAAUUCAGGCCAAUGGAGUUGACAUCUCUGACAGUCAAUAUGUUGAUUUUCACAAAGCCUCAGACAUUCAUUCAGUGACCAAACACUUCAAUGUUCCUGAAAAAUACUGGAAAAAAGACCAAAGUUUCACUUGCAAGGUGAAUCAAGGUUUUUCCAGCAGCAGCUCCUCCCAAUCUAUUGGCAAUAUUUUUGUGGAUCCAUCAGUGGAACUUCUUCUGAUCCCCAGUCAGGACUCUGAUUCACAAACACUCUCAUGCUCUGGAAGUGGCUUCGACCCUCAAAUCAAAUGGUUGCCUGAGCUCCAGAUCAGCUCUUCCUCAACAAAAGGCGCCAUCACCAUGAGUGCAGAUGGGCGUGUAGCAGUGACCAGUCAACUUCAAGUUCCUCGAUCAGAUUGGCAAAGUGGGAACGUCUUCACUUGUGAAGUCUCUGACAAGUCUCUCAACACAGCAGUCAACAGGAGUAUCAGUGUCUGCUCAGUGACUCCAGCAUCCUCUCAGAUUGCUGAGGUUUAUGUUCAUGGACCGCCAGUGCAGCAGCUUCAGAGCAAAGAAAAGGCUCUGAUGAAUAUCACCUGCCUUCUGGUCGGUCACCACCUUAAAGACUUCUCCAUCAGCUGGAAGGUUGACAAUAGCAAGUAUUUUGGACAAAAUGUUUAUCCACAGCAACCAAAGAGCCACAGCAAUGGGACAGAGACGAUGCAGAGCUUCUUUGGUGUGUCAGCAGAGGAUUGGCAUGCAUAUAAACAAGUGUCUUGUGAGGGAAAACAUCAAUGUUCCAACAAAGGCUACGAGGCCCGUAUCAGCAAAAGCAGAGAUCUGCUCCCACCAACAGUGAAGAUAAUUCAACCAACCGCCUCUGAGAUGUCAGUGUCAGAUAUCUUCACGGUUGUUUGCCAAGUUUCUGGAUUUUCCCCAUCCAAUAUAUUAGUCUACUGGGAGGAGAAUGGAAAGAAACUUCCAUCCUCUCGGUACGUCAAUGGUCCAGUGUGGAAGUACCCGAGGAGCAGCUCUUUCUCCAUGAGCAGUAAAUUAAACGUAUCCAAAAGUCUGGACACACCAGUAUAUUCUUGCGUUGUCAUCCAUGAAUCAUCUGAAACACCUUUUCGAAGCACCAUGAAGGAUGUUCUGGCUCCAGUGGCCCUCAGUGAACCUUCAGUCCUCUUGCUUCAGAGUUCUAAUGAACUUGUGUGCCUCGCCUUUGACUUCACUCCUGAAGCCAUCAACAUCACCUGGCUUCGUGAUGGAACCUCAGAAUUGCGGGAUUACAAUACCAGUGAGCCACAAAGAGGUGCAGAUGGAAGAUUUAGCAUUCGGAGCCACCUCCGUCUGUCUCCAAUCGACUUCUUACCAGGAGUGGUGUUCACCUGCAAGGUGACCCAUGCAAGCUUUACAAAGCUCCUGAAUCUAUCCAGACCAGACACCCUGGAGCAGUGUGAUUUUUUAGAUCACAUCGUCCAUGCUGAAGUGAGCCAAGAUAUAGGAGUGGAAACUGUGUACAUGGCCUUCACCUUCCUCAUCCUGUUCCUUAUUUCUGUUGUCUACGGUGUUUUUGCUACCAUGUUUAAGACCAAAUGAUGACAAGACGACUCCCUGCAGACUUGAGGAUUGUGAUGCCAUGUCACCCAGAUGUGUUCAGUUUUCUUUGCUUUGCUUUUGUAGUUCUGGUGUUGUGUUGUGUGAAAAAAAAAGUCAAGAAACAAUUAAAAAAAAACUACUUUUUCUGUGAUUUUAUAUGUACUUGAUGCAUAAAAAAGAUCAA